RNAcentral lists this ribosomal RNA (253 nucleotides) under uncultured bacterium. RNAcentral describes it as "partial 16S ribosomal RNA". It matches the Rfam family "Bacterial small subunit ribosomal RNA", at positions 524 to 776 of the family's 1533-position model. The record is from RNAcentral.
UACGUAGGGUGCAAGCGUUAUCCGGAAUUAUUGGGCGUAGAGAGCUCGUAGGCGGUUUGUCGCGUCUGCUGUGAAAACUGGAGGCUCAACCUCCAGCCUGCAGUGGGUACGGGCAGACUAGAGUGCGGUAGGGGAGAUUGGAAUUCCUGGUGUAGCGGUGGAAUGCGCAGAUAUCAGGAGGAACACCGAUGGCGAAGGCAGAUCUCUGGCUCGAUACUGACGCUGAGGUGCGAAAGCGUGGGGAGCAAACAGG